UAUAAUAUUAAAUGACACUCUGGUCUCGGUUUAAUAAGUAAUAAUAAUAGAAUGUUUUUUCUAAUAGUAUUAGAUCAUUUGCAAAUCUUAUUAAAUCCAGGCCUAUUUUUUUUUCCUCUCUUUGUUUUUAAACUGCUAUAUUUCACAGAGAAUCAGCCUUCUAUUUUUCUAUGAAACAGUAGGGUUUCAACAUCACAGUUAUAGUGGAUCUGUGGGAACGAAAGGGUUAAGUGUAAUAGAAAUAUUGUCAAUAUCGCCAUUUAUACACCAGC
Pelobates cultripes (western spadefoot toad) is the source of this 272-nucleotide non-coding RNA. The record is from the annotation of a GenBank genome assembly. Lineage: Eukaryota; Metazoa; Chordata; Amphibia; Anura; Pelobatidae.